UGAAGCAAAGUCGUGAGGCGGAGCAAAUCACAAAACACAGUCUCAGUUCAGAUUGUAGGCUGAAACUCGCCUGCAUGAAGUCGGAAUUGCUAGUAAUCGCGGAUCAGCAUGCCGCGGUGAAUACGUUCCCGGGCCUUGUACACACCGCCCGUCACACCAUGGGAGUCGGUAACACCCGAAGCCGAUAGUCUAACGAAAGAGGACGUCGUCGAAGGUGGGAUUGAUGACUGGGGUGAAGUCGUAACAAGGUAGC
This 253-nucleotide ribosomal RNA is filed under the name uncultured bacterium. RNAcentral's name for it is "partial 16S ribosomal RNA". It matches the Rfam family "Bacterial small subunit ribosomal RNA", at positions 1245 to 1500 of the family's 1533-position model. The record is from RNAcentral.